RNAcentral lists this transfer RNA (83 nucleotides) under SAR324 cluster bacterium. RNAcentral describes it as "tRNA-Ser". It matches the Rfam family "tRNA". Rfam says of the family: Transfer RNA (tRNA) molecules are approximately 80 nucleotides in length. Their secondary structure includes four short double-helical elements and three loops (D, anti-codon, and T loops). Further hydrogen bonds mediate the characteristic L-shaped molecular structure. tRNAs have two regions of fundamental functional importance: the anti-codon, which is responsible for specific mRNA codon recognition, and the 3' end, to which the tRNAs corresponding amino acid is attached (by aminoacyl-tRNA synthetases). tRNAs cope with the degeneracy of the genetic code in two manners: having more than one tRNA (with a specific anti-codon) for a particular amino acid; and 'wobble' base-pairing, i.e. permitting non-standard base-pairing at the 3rd anti-codon position. The record is from RNAcentral. Lineage: Bacteria; Deltaproteobacteria.
GAAAAGGUGGCUGAGAGGUUUAAAGUAUUGGUUUGCUAAAUCAACAUGUUUUAACAUCAUGGGUUCGAAUCCCAUUCUUUUCU